AAAGUCGUAACAAGGUUUCCGUAGGUGAACCUGCGGAAGGAUCAUUAACAAAUCAUGGAGCUUGCUCCAAAAGAGUUCCCUCAAAGAGACUUUGGUCUUGGAGAGGUUCUCUAUAUCAACCUGUUGUAUUGUAUGACAAAAUUCGGUGCCAAAUUAUAUAACAACUUUUAACAAUGGAUCUCUUGGCUCUU
This 191-nucleotide unclassified non-coding RNA is filed under the name Basidiomycota sp. Its description in RNAcentral is "partial contains small subunit ribosomal RNA, internal transcribed spacer 1, and 5.8S ribosomal RNA". The stretch from base 1 to 47 matches the Rfam family "Eukaryotic small subunit ribosomal RNA", at positions 1785 to 1831 of the family's 1831-position model. The record is from RNAcentral. Lineage: Eukaryota; Fungi; Basidiomycota.